CAUUAGAUAUUUAGAUAGUAAUUCAUUUUGCUACAAUAACUGCAUUACUAAUAUGUUGCUUCAUCAAAAUGGAUAUUUUACAAUUAUAGAAAAAUCAGUAAGGCUAGCCAUGGCUAACUCCCCAGCUAGCUUGCACUUGAAAUACUGAAUCUUCCCUGCUUUAGCUGCCUUAAUUGUUGUCUGUCUCUCUACUACAGUUUUAUAUGCUGUUUUCGUGGAAAUUAUACAUUUCUAUAGCAUAAUAAUAUUUUUUAUAAGGGUAAAGCAGAUGCUAAAAUGUAAGAUUCCAGUCUUAAUUAAGACCAAUGUAGUUGCUGAGCUUUGGCUUUGAAUAUUCCAAAAAUUACUAUUGCAUCUCACAACUGUCCUACAUCAGUUUUAUAGAAAUUGCAGCUAUCAAGACACUACAGGGGCAAAAAGAGCUGACUAAACAAUAUUAUUCUGAAGUGUGGCAUGGGUACCUCUUUUUCUGUCAUUCUCUGACCACACUCCUGCAGCCGAGAUAACCUUUCUCACUAAGAUGCAACAGGUGGUGAGGAAGAGGAUCAGCACUGGCCGGGCACAAGCUUAUUGGCCAGGAUAAGAAUGACGUGGUAGCACAGCCCAACCAACCAACCACAUAAAGUUGAGACAAAAAUACAAACACAUCUGGGAAAGACAGCCACACAAAUGCUGAUUGAGUUUACUGGACCAUAAAUCAACCAACAAACAAUUAUGGAGAUCCAUCAUUACCUGUGGCUUCUCUCUAUGUAAGUUGAACCUCAUAUUGAUAAUUGUGUUGUGUUUUCUUUUCUUA
Molecule: long non-coding RNA, 796 nt
Organism: Thunnus maccoyii (southern bluefin tuna)
Lineage: Eukaryota; Metazoa; Chordata; Actinopteri; Scombriformes; Scombridae
Exons: 3
Source: RefSeq, a predicted model, not a curated record